Molecule: ribosomal RNA, 253 nt
Filed under: uncultured bacterium
Lineage: Bacteria
Description: partial 16S ribosomal RNA
Rfam family: Bacterial small subunit ribosomal RNA
Source: RNAcentral
UACGUAGGCAGCAAGCGUUGUUCGGAAUUACUGGGCGUAAAGGGUGCGUAGGCGGCUUUCUAAGUUGGAUGUGAAAACUAUGGGCUCAACCCAUAGCCUGCAUCCAAAACUGGAGAGCUUGGGUUCUGGAGGGGAAAGCGGAAUUCCUGGUGUAGCGGUGAAAUGCGUAGAUAUCAGGAGGAACACCGGUGGCGAAGGCGGCUUUCUGGACAGAUACCGACGCUGAGGCACGAAAGCUAGGGGAGCAAACAGG